AUUGAACGCUGGCGGCAUGCUUUACACAUGCAAGUCGAACGGCAGCGCGGGGCAACCUGGCGGCGAGUGGCGAACGGGUGAGUAAUAUAUCGGAACGUACCCAAGAGUGGGGGAUAACGUAGCGAAAGUUACGCUAAUACCGCAUACGAUCUCAGGAUGAAAGCAGGGGACCGCAAGGCCUUGUGCUCCUGGAGCGGCCGAUAUCUGAUUAGCUAGUUGGGAGGUAAAGGCUCACCAAGGCGACGAUCAGUAGCUGGUCUGAGAGGACGACCAGCCACACUGGGACUGAGACACGGCCCAGACUCCUACGGGAGGCAGCAGUGGGGAAUUUUGGACAAUGGGCGCAAGCCUGAUCCAGCAAUGCCGCGUGAGUGAAGAAGGCCUGG
RNAcentral lists this ribosomal RNA (386 nucleotides) under uncultured bacterium. RNAcentral describes it as "bacterial SSU rRNA". It matches the Rfam family "Bacterial small subunit ribosomal RNA", at positions 29 to 419 of the family's 1533-position model. The record is from RNAcentral.